GGGAGGCAGCAGUAAGGAAUCUUGCGCAAUGGGCGAAAGCCUGACGCAGCGACGUCGCGUGACUGAUGAAGUCUUUCGGGAUGUAAAGGUCUUUUCUGGGGGAAGAAGGAUGUGACGGUACCCCAGGAAUAAGCCCCGGCUAACUACGUGCCAGCAGCCGCGGUAAUACGUAGGGGGCGAGCGUUGUCCGAAUUCACUGGGCGUAAAGCGCGCGUAGGCGGGUUUUUAAGUUGUGGGUGAAAUCCCGAGGCUCAACCUCGGAACUGCCUGCAAAACUGGAAGCCUUGAGGUAUGGAGAGGGAAGUGGAAUUCCUGGUGUAGCGGUGAAAUGCGUAGAUAUCAGGAGGAACACCCGUGGCGAAGGCGGCUUCCUGGCCAUAUCCUGACGCUGAGGUGCGAAAGCCAGGGGAGCGAACGGGAUUAGAUACCCCGGUAGU
This 437-nucleotide ribosomal RNA is filed under the name uncultured bacterium. Its description in RNAcentral is "bacterial SSU rRNA". It matches the Rfam family "Bacterial small subunit ribosomal RNA", at positions 343 to 794 of the family's 1533-position model. The record is from RNAcentral.